This is a long non-coding RNA of Vicia villosa (hairy vetch), 2275 nucleotides long. RefSeq lists it as uncharacterized. Lineage: Eukaryota; Viridiplantae; Streptophyta; Magnoliopsida; Fabales; Fabaceae. The record is from RefSeq and is a predicted model, not a curated record. The transcript is spliced from 2 exons.
UGAACGCAAUUCACGUGAGUAGCACGCAAAGUUGAAUUAUUCUAUGGGCAGAUCAUCAAUCCCGUAUUAGCAGGGCUAUACACACCAAACCGCCAUGACAACACCAUUUUACUAAAUUGUCCCUGUGACAGAUAAUCAACAAUAUCCUCCUAUCCUUAAAUUUACCGCACCUAACAUUCAUGUCAUUAAAUCUACACCGUCAAUCCAAGUAAUCUUAGCCGUCCAUUCAACAAAAAUUCUCUAUAAAAGAUAGGUUUGUGAAUCCUCAUUAUUAUCGUUCCACAGCCUCUAGGGUUUCAUCAUUCUUUCAUCCUUCUCCUUCUAUUCUUCAACUUUAGGUUUCCGAUCUCGUUGGUAACCUCUCCGUCUAUCUUCGACCGGUACUAGAUCUGUUCAGAUCCGAUGGAGAUCUUCACGCCGGUGGUGAUUUUGUUCAGAUCUGAGUUCAGAGGCGCGAUCUUCGCGUCGGUGUUGCUGUUUGGUAUCAAUUCUUAGAAAAGUCCGUUGUUGUUUCCUAAAUCAGGGCUUGAGAGAUUUUUUUUGCAGGUAUGGUGGCAGAUCGACGGACAGAUCUUAGAUCGGAAGUAUGCUGGUUUCACCUUGGUCAAAGUAAUGGAUGAAUCAUCUUCUGAUUUCUGGAAGUGCUCUGAGAUCUGGUUCUAGAUUGAUGUUUUACAGAUUCAUACAUGUAGCUGAACUCUGAUUUUUUAGUUGUGUAUUUGAUUGGGAGUAAUGCGGGUGGGAGUUUAAUGGAUGUAGGUUGUUUCAGGAUUUACAUAUCUUGAUUCGCUGAGCGUUUUGAGAAUUGAAUCUUGAUUGAUCUUGUCAUCCGACCUUUGCCAUGUCAGGUGCGCUUGCUUGGCAGGUCAACAAAAUAAUAAAAAAAAGAUUUGUUGGUUUUUGGGAGAGAUCGCACGGGGUUUUUGCCCGGGAUCUCUCCCCUGUGGUGUCUUCCUUGCUCUUUUUUAUCUCUUUAUUGUUUGUUUUAUGCUCGUUACGUCUUCACGUUUCACGACUCUACACGAUUCCUCUCGUGAUCAAUUCGCAGAAGGAUAUCCAAUUUCACUCAAACUCUUUUCAGUGCACAUAUUAAUUCAUAGAAGGAUUCCUUAUACUCCAUGGCAGAAGCAUAUAUUUGGUGAUGCACAUACUGAGAGCACAUAAUGAGGUAUUAUCUAUCCAAUUUCACUCCUACUCUUAUCAAUACAAUUGAGGUAUUAUUAAUCUAAUUUCACUCAUACUCAUAUCAAUGCAAUUCACAUAUUGAGGUAAUUAACAUCCGAUCAGCACUCAAACUCAAACCAUCAAUGUAUGUACGUACUUUGCACCUAUUUUAAACGUAUUAUCUAUCCAAUUGAAUUCAAAUUGCUUAUGAUUUAAGAACCAUUUAUAUAAAAUAUCAUUUCUUUUAUCAUAAGAUUUAUUAGUAAUACAGUGAAUUUAUCUAAUUGAAAAUGUAUUCCAUUAUACAGAAAAAUAAUACUGAAUAUAUCUAAUAGAAAAGUAAUUCCAUUAUACAAAUUUAUAGUAUCUCAUUAGUUCAUUACAAUCUGUAAAUUACAAGUUGUCAUGGAGGCUUCUUUAAAAUUUUAUUUGAACAUGCUGUUUUAAUUUCACAUACGGAAUUCAAAAAUCUUAAUUCAUUUCCGUUUUUUUUGCUCGUUUUGAUUCUUAUUUUAGAAUUGUUUCACAUGUAAACUGUAGUGUAUUUUCAUUGUGGCUAGCAACAUUUGUAUGUGCAGUUUAAUUCUGUAAAUUUCCCUGUCAUUGAAUCAUUUAGUUGUGAUAGAUUAUACUAUUUACAAAUUUUAAUAAGAAGUUAUGUUAGUUUUAGCUCAUCAAAUUCAUAUAACACAAUACAUCAGUUACGAUUAAAUGUAUCAUUUACCAGUUUCAAGUUGAAGGCUACAAAGAUAUGUGAAGAUAUAACAAUUCCGAUCAAUUGUUAUUUUAGUUGCCAAUACAUUUACCUCAGUGGAUCUCUCAGUUGUGAUCUAAUGUAUCCUUAGUUACUAGUUUCAAGUUGAAGGAUGUAAUGACAUGUGAAGAAAUAACAACCCCUGAGCUAUUGCAAGUGAAGUUUUAGUUCGGCUAAUGCUACUAUCUUAUUGGAACCUCUGUUGUAAAUACAAAUCAUUUGCCAAUUUAGAGGAGAAUGGAUAUAGAACAUAUGAAGGCACACUUGUGAUUCCCAGAAGCUUUUGUUAUGCUCAUACUCUCAAGUAAGGUGAAAGAUUAUUUGCUCUUUUAAUUCAUUUGAUAGCGUUGAAGUUUA